This 1491-nucleotide long non-coding RNA is filed under the name Homo sapiens (human). Its description in RNAcentral is "HSALNT0375427". Lineage: Eukaryota; Metazoa; Chordata; Mammalia; Primates; Hominidae. The record is from RNAcentral.
CCCACGUCCCUCAGCGCCCCCGCGUGCGUCCCCACGUCACUCAGGGGCCCUGCGUGCGUCCGCUCAGUGGCCGGGUGUAUGUCCCCUCAGCGGUCCAGCAUGUAGGUUGUGUGGUGUUGCUUUUCGAGGUGGUUUGUGAUGCUUGAUUUUCCUGCAAGAGUGGAAGGAAGAAACGUUGAGGAGGACCCUGCAGGUUACCUGGGCCCCACCAGGUCAUCAGGAGCAUCUCCCAUCUCAAGAUUCAUCACCGAGUUCCCUAUGCAGAGUCCCUGGUGCGGUGUAAGCAAGCAAUCCACAGGUUCCAGCGGGUGGGGUGUGGAUAUCAGGCAUGCGUGUUCUUCCAAGCUUGCAAAAGUUACACAAAUGUAUGCCAUGAGGGUUAGAGAACAGAGUGAGGAAUACUUAGUUGGGAAAGGCAAAAUAAAUGCAUCAGUCUGUACAGAACCACAAAGAAUAAAUGGGAGGAAGGCAGGACCUUGAAGAGGCCACAGGGACCUCAAGGAAGGAGAAAACCAGAACGUUAAACACGAGGAAAGCCCAGGGGUCACAGGAGCGUUAGGCACCAUACGGAGCAGGCUGUGUUCAUGACAUAAAAGGAGGGACACACAGCAUAAAUUUCACAUUCUAAAAUAAUAUGAAAAGACCAUAACUGAAGAGCUGAAGUUGAACUUUGUGGUUUCUCAGAACACAAGUAGAUGAUGACCACCAACCAUGGUUUCUAAAUGAACUGGGUUCAAAAUGUAUCUGGUGGCAACAGAGGGCUUCUUUGGACCCUGGCAUUAGAAGCAUAACAAGGUAAUUUGAGGAGCUGCUAUUUCACAAGGUGGUGGCAUCCCGGGGAGCUUCUAUUCCAUGAGUCAAGUUCAAUAUCUCACCACCGUGGAAAAGGAGUUUCCAAGCAGGAACGAGCAGUAUCACUGGGAAGCCGAUAUUUGGGCCAUCCUUGGAGAUCCCUGCUGUGAGGACGGCAGGUGUUCCUCCCGUGAAAGCACUAAACUGGGUGUGACUCAGGGCCAGGUGGGAAUUCACACAUGUAUCUGGUUGAUGGCAAGGCGGAGACGUGUGCCCCCGUGAGUCCUGUUCCAUGUUGGUCUGCAUGAAUGGAGGCUCUGCAGACAGACCCUCGGACUGCAUCUCCAAAGACUGAACCUGGACCCUGGGGGGUCCUGCUGCCUCCUGGUAUUUCAAGGACGAUGACCAUCACGAGGGGAAAGGCGGGCCUGGCCACCGUCCUGUCACUGACACACUUGCUCCUGACAUACAGCUCCUAAAGCCUUGGAAUCUGUGGAGUGACAACAUCUUUUGUGUGCUAAUGAGAUGACUGGGGGCUGGGGACGCCUGGACAGCCUCAGGAUGGAGCAGGUCACCAGAGGAACCAGCCAUGUGCAUAGAGGGUUGGAACUUGUGGUCCCAUCCCCAACCUCUAGGGAGGGGAGAAGGCUGAAGGUCAAGUUGAUCACCAGUGGACAGUGAUUUAACAAAUCAUGCCUA